Molecule: ribosomal RNA, 465 nt
Filed under: Vreelandella stevensii
Lineage: Bacteria; Pseudomonadati; Pseudomonadota; Gammaproteobacteria; Oceanospirillales; Halomonadaceae
Description: partial 16S ribosomal RNA
Rfam family: Bacterial small subunit ribosomal RNA
Source: RNAcentral
CCUACGGGAGGCUGUAGUGGGGAAUAUUGGACAAUGGGCGAAAGCCUGAUCCAGCCAUGCCGCGUGUGUGAAGAAGGCCUUCGGGUUGUAAAGCACUUUCAGUGGGGAAGAAAGCCUUGGGGCUAAUACCCUCGAGGAAGGACAUCACCCACAGAAGAAGCACCGGCUAACUCCGUGCCAGCAGCCGCGGUAAUACGGAGGGUGCGAGCGUUAAUCGGAAUUACUGGGCGUAAAGCGCGCGUAGGCGGUCUGAUAAGCCGGUUGUGAAAGCCCCGGGCUCAACCUGGGAACGGCAUCCGGAACUGUCAGGCUAGAGUGCAGGAGAGGAAGGUAGAAUUCCCGGUGUAGCAGUGAAAUGCGUAGAGAUCGGGAGGAAUACCAGUGGCGAAGGCGGCCUUCUGGACUGACACUGACGCUGAGGUGCGAAAGCGUGGGUAGCAAACAGGAUUAGAUACCCUGGUAGUC